Molecule: ribosomal RNA, 305 nt
Filed under: Burkholderia sp. 261S
Lineage: Bacteria; Pseudomonadati; Pseudomonadota; Betaproteobacteria; Burkholderiales; Burkholderiaceae
Description: bacterial SSU rRNA
Rfam family: Bacterial small subunit ribosomal RNA
Source: RNAcentral
UGCAUGGUGUCGUCAGAUUGUGGGGUGAGAGGUUGGGUUAAGUCCCGCAACGAGCGCAACCCUUGUUCCUAGUUGCUACGUAAGAGCACUCUAGGGAGACUGCCGGUGACAAACCGGAUGAAGGUGGGGAUGACGUCAAGUCCUCAUGGCCCUUAUGGGUAGGGCUUCACACGUCAUACAAUGGUCGGAACAGAGGGUUGCCAAGCCGCGAGGUGGAGCCAAUCCCAGAAAACCGAUCGUAGUCCGGAUCGCAGUCUGCAACUCGACUGCGUGAAGCUGGAAUCGCUAGUAAUCGCGGAUCAGCA